This 83-nucleotide transfer RNA is filed under the name Chlamydomonas reinhardtii. It matches the Rfam family "tRNA". From Rfam's summary of the family: Transfer RNA (tRNA) molecules are approximately 80 nucleotides in length. Their secondary structure includes four short double-helical elements and three loops (D, anti-codon, and T loops). Lineage: Eukaryota; Viridiplantae; Chlorophyta; Chlorophyceae; Chlamydomonadales; Chlamydomonadaceae. The record is from Rfam by way of RNAcentral.
GGGAGUUUGGUCUAGUGGUAUGAUUCUCGCUUAGGGUCUCUCUAGCAUGCGAGAGGUCGUGGGUUCAAUUCCCGCAACUCCCC